AAUUUUCGGCAAUGGGGGCAACCCUGACCGAGCGCCGCCGCGUGAGUGAAGAAGGUCCCCGGAUUGUAAAACUCUGUUGUUAGGGAAGAACAAGUAUCGGAGUCACUGCCGGUACCUUGACGGUACCUGACGAGAAAGCCACGGCUAACUACGUGCCAGCAGCCGCGGUAAUACGUAGGUGGGCAGCGUUGUCCGGUUUUAUUGGGCGUAAAGCGCGCGCAGGCGGUCUUUUAAGUCUGAUGUGAAAUCUUACAGCUUAACUGUAAGCGGUCAUUGGAAACUGGGGGACUUGAGUGCAGAAGAGGAGAGUGGAAUUCCAUGUGUAGCGGUGAAAUGCGUAGAGAUAUGGAGGAACACCAGUGGCGAAGGCGACUCUCUGGUCUGUAACUGACGCUGAGGCGCGAAAGCGUGGGGAUAAAACA
RNAcentral lists this ribosomal RNA (422 nucleotides) under uncultured bacterium. RNAcentral's name for it is "partial 16S ribosomal RNA". It matches the Rfam family "Bacterial small subunit ribosomal RNA", at positions 360 to 774 of the family's 1533-position model. The record is from RNAcentral.